GAAAUGCGAUAAGUAAUGUGAAUUGCAGAAUUCAGUGAAUCAUCGAAUCUUUGAACGCACCUUGCGCUCCUUGGUAUUCCUUGGAGCAUGCCUGUUUGAGUAUCAUGAAAUCUUCAAAGUAAAUCUUUUGUUAACUCAAUUGGUUUCUACUUUGGUAUUGGAGGUCUUUGCAGCUUCACACCUGCUCCUCUUUGUUCAUUAGCUGGAUCUCAGUGUUAUGCUUGGUUCCACUCGGCGUGAUAAGUUAUCUAUCGCUGAGGACACUGUAAAAGGUGGCCAAGGUAAAUGCAGAUAAACCGCUUCUAAUAGUCCAUUGACUUGGACAAUACUUUUAUGAUCUGAUCUCAAAUCAGGUAGGACUACCCGCUGAACUUAAG
This 377-nucleotide unclassified non-coding RNA is filed under the name plant metagenome. RNAcentral describes it as "partial contains 5.8S ribosomal RNA, internal transcribed spacer 2, and large subunit ribosomal RNA". The stretch from base 1 to 105 matches the Rfam family "5.8S ribosomal RNA", at positions 50 to 154 of the family's 154-position model. The record is from RNAcentral.